UACGAAGGUCCCAAGCGUUAUCCGGAUUUAUUGGGUUUAAAGGGUGCGUAGGCGGCUUAUUAAGUCAGUGGUGAAAGCUCCAUGCUUAACGUGGAGAUUGCCAUUGAUACUGAUGAGCUUGAGUAGAUUUGAAGUGGGCGGAAUGUGUCGUGUAGCGGUGAAAUGCUUAGAUAUGACACAGAACACCGAUUGCGUAGGCAGCUCACUAAACUCUUACUGACGCUGAGGCACGAAAGCAUGGGGAUCAAACAGG
Molecule: ribosomal RNA, 253 nt
Filed under: uncultured bacterium
Lineage: Bacteria
Description: partial 16S ribosomal RNA
Rfam family: Bacterial small subunit ribosomal RNA
Source: RNAcentral